UACAGAGGGGGCAAGCGUUAUUCGGAAUUAUUGGGCGUAAAGGGCGCGUAGGCGGCCUGGCAAGUGGAUGGUGAAAUCCCUCGGCUUAACCGAGGAACUGCCAUCCAGACUGCUUGGCUUGAGACCGGGAGAGGUGAGUGGAAUUCCCAGUGUAGCGGUGAAAUGCGUAGAUAUCGGUAGGAACACCAGUGGCGAAGGCGGUCUCCUGGGGCAUUCUUGACGCUGAGGCGCGAAAGCUGGGGGAGCAAACGGG
This 253-nucleotide ribosomal RNA is filed under the name uncultured bacterium. Its description in RNAcentral is "partial 16S ribosomal RNA". It matches the Rfam family "Bacterial small subunit ribosomal RNA", at positions 524 to 776 of the family's 1533-position model. The record is from RNAcentral.